CGACUUGGUCUCACGAGCAAGCUUAAGCCGGUAGGCGAAGGCGCAGCGAAAGCGAGUCUGAACAGGGCGCUGAGUUGCCGGCAGAAGACCCGAAACCGAGUGAUCUAGCCAUGGCCAGGCUGAAGGUGGGGUAACACCCACUGGAGGGCCGAACCCACGCCUGUUGAAAAAGUCGGGGAUGAGCUGUGGCUAGGGGUGAAAGGCUAAUCAAACUCGGUGAUAGCUGGUUCUCCCCGAAAUGCAUUUA
Molecule: ribosomal RNA, 247 nt
Filed under: Ochromonas sp. CCMP1393
Lineage: Eukaryota; Chrysophyceae; Chromulinales; Chromulinaceae
Description: partial Bacterial large subunit ribosomal RNA
Rfam family: Bacterial large subunit ribosomal RNA
Source: RNAcentral